UCAUUAUAAAGAUUAGUACUUCAGUCGGCAGUAGCUGAGUUAUUUAGUAUUUGUCUUAUUCCACAUCCAUUUGUUAUAAGAAAAUUGCCCGAGUUAGUUUUUAAAAUCGAGUUAAGCUUUGUUUAUUUUUUGUUUUAAUGCCUAUUUUUAUUUUGAUAUUAAGCUACUUGCAAACGUUCAAAUGUUUAUUUCUAUGCGUGAAGAGAGUAAGAUAUGAAGAUGUUGAAGGGUUUAUAUAAUUUAGGUUUAAGUGCAAUUGGAUUAACCAUUUUAAGUAAUUUUAGAUUAAGUGAGGUUUUUAUCUUUCAUCUCAAACAGAUCUUUGAUUAGGACAUUGCAAUUUCAAAGUCAAAAGCUGGCCUGGAUUUAAUUAAACACUAGUUUUGACUUGUUUCUCCAUUGCUGAAAAUGGAAGCACAGCUGUGUGUACAUUAAUUCUUACAAG
RNAcentral lists this unclassified non-coding RNA (445 nucleotides) under Hevea brasiliensis (rubber tree). The record is from RNAcentral. Lineage: Eukaryota; Viridiplantae; Streptophyta; Magnoliopsida; Malpighiales; Euphorbiaceae.